Molecule: ribosomal RNA, 271 nt
Filed under: uncultured archaeon
Lineage: Archaea
Description: partial 16S ribosomal RNA
Rfam family: Archaeal small subunit ribosomal RNA
Source: RNAcentral
CAGCGCCACAAGUGGCAACCACGUUUAUUGGGCCUAAAGCGUCCGUAGCCGGUUUAGUAAAUCUCUUGUGAAAUCGACAGGCUCAACCUGUCGGCGUGCUUGAGACACUACUAAACUAGAGACCGGGAGGAGUCAGAGGUAUUCCAGGGGGAGCGGUAAAAUGUGAUAAUCCUUGGAGGACCAUCUAUGGCGAAGGCAUCUGACCAGAACGGAUCUGACGGUGAGGGACGAAGGCUAGGGGAGCGAACCGGAUUAGAUACCCGAGUAGUCC